GUGAUGGCAUGAGAGCCAGCUAAGGGAGGAAUUUGUAACAGCCUAAGUGGGAUUUCUCUCUGAUGCUGUGAUUAGUUUCAGCUCCUGAAACUGGAGGUGCUGCUUUUCUGUGAGGCAGUAGGAUGAGUGGAGAACAUGGAAGACAUGAGGACUCCUCAGAGAUAACAUCUUUCGCAGAUCAAAAAUAUCAAAGGAUUAUGGCACACAUACUCUUGCUGAUCCGUUACAUGGUAUUCUGCCAAACAAAACUGGUAAAAGGAAACAUAACAGAAAAUGAGUUUUGAGAAGCAGGAUUUUCUGCUGGUUCCUGGUGUAGAGGACAUUGUGAUGCUUGAUUUGAUGACUUCUGUGCAGAUCCCAUCACCACUUUCAGUUAUUUUGCAAGGGUAAGAAAAUUUGGAAACGUGGUUCACCAUUGCCUGUACUUUUUUUUAAGCCAAG
Gallus gallus (chicken) is the source of this 441-nucleotide long non-coding RNA. The record is from Ensembl. NCBI's taxonomy places the organism in Eukaryota, Metazoa, Chordata, Aves, Galliformes, Phasianidae.